AGUGAACGCUGGCGGUAGGCCUAACACAUGCAAGUCGAACGGCAGCACAGGAGAGCUUGCUCUCUAGGUGGCGAGUGGCGGACGGGUGAGGAAUACAUCGGAAUCUGCCCAGUCGUGGGGGAUAACGUAGGGAAACUUACGCUAAUACCGCAUACGACCUUCGGGUGAAAGAGGGGGAUCGCAAGACCUCUCGCGAUUGGAUGAGCCGAUGUCGGAUUAGCUAGUUAGCGGGGUAAUGGCCCACCAAGGCGACGAUCCGUAGCUGGUCUGAGAGGAUGAUCAGCCACACUGGAACUGAGACACGGUCCAGACUCCUACGGGAGGCAGCAGUGGGGAAUAUUGGUCAAUGGGCGCAAGCCUGAUCCAGCCAUACCGCGUGGGUGAAGAAGGCCUUCGGGUUGUAAAGCCCUUUUGUUGGGAAAGAAAUCUUUCAGGCUAAUACCCUGGGAGGAUGACGGUACCCAAAGAAUAAGCACCGGCUAACUUCGUG
This 490-nucleotide ribosomal RNA is filed under the name uncultured bacterium. RNAcentral describes it as "partial 16S ribosomal RNA". It matches the Rfam family "Bacterial small subunit ribosomal RNA", at positions 29 to 507 of the family's 1533-position model. The record is from RNAcentral.